Molecule: non-coding RNA, 222 nt
Organism: Pelobates cultripes (western spadefoot toad)
Lineage: Eukaryota; Metazoa; Chordata; Amphibia; Anura; Pelobatidae
Source: the annotation of a GenBank genome assembly
UUUAAAUAAUCUGCUCAACAAUGUAUAUGCCAAAUAAAACUCAAUUAAUUAAUUCAUACACUAAAUAACAACAUAAAACAAAUGGCAACCAAGAUGCAUACAUCAUAAGUGAUUUCUGACCUUGAGGAAGAGGUGGGGGUAUCUGCACUCACAGUGCUUAUUUCAUGUAUUAUUUAACAUUUGUUUAUCUUGAUUGCCAUUUAUUUUGUGGUGAUAUUAUAU